RNAcentral lists this ribosomal RNA (550 nucleotides) under uncultured bacterium. Its description in RNAcentral is "bacterial SSU rRNA". It matches the Rfam family "Bacterial small subunit ribosomal RNA", at positions 355 to 896 of the family's 1533-position model. The record is from RNAcentral.
UAGGGAAUCUUCCGCAAUGGGCGAAAGCCUGACGGAGCAACGCCGCGUGAGUGAUGAAGGUCUUCGGAUCGUAAAACUCUGUUAUUAGGGAAGAACAUAUGUGUAAGUAACUGUACACAUCUUGACGGUACCUAAUCAGAAAGCCACGGCUAACUACGUGCCAGCAGCCGCGGUAAUACGUAGGUGGCAAGCGUUAUCCGGAAUUAUUGGGCGUAAAGCGCGCGUAGGCGGUUUUUUAAGUCUGAUGUGAAAGCCCACGGCUCAACCGUGGAGGGUCAUUGGAAACUGGAAAACUUGAGUGCAGAAGAGGAAAGUGGAAUUCCAUGUGUAGCGGUGAAAUGCGCAGAGAUAUGGAGGAACACCAGUGGCGAAGGCGACUUUCUGGUCUGUAACUGACGCUGAUGUGCGAAAGCGUGGGGAUCAAACAGGAUUAGAUACCCUGGUAGUCCACGCCGUAAACGAUGAGUGCUAAGUGUUAGGGGGUUUCCGCCCCUUAGUGCUGCAGCUAACGCAUUAAGCACUCCGCCUGGGGAGUACGACCGCAAGGUUG